RNAcentral lists this long non-coding RNA (204 nucleotides) under Capsicum annuum. RNAcentral's name for it is "long non-coding RNA (CANN_LNC019306)". The record is from RNAcentral. Lineage: Eukaryota; Viridiplantae; Streptophyta; Magnoliopsida; Solanales; Solanaceae.
GUCUUGAGCCUUGGUCUAGUAUGAUUUCUACGGGGUGAAUCGUGUCAUCGACCUUCAUAAUGAUAUCGCUACAUUGGUUACCUUUCACGCGUCAUUAUAUGAGUCGGCCAAAUGUGUUGUCUACUUUGUUUUGUGUGAUUCUUACUACUCUUCAUGUGUCAUGAUUUACUAUGGCAACGUGGCUUGGCUAUUUUUACGGAUUCG